RNAcentral lists this long non-coding RNA (1222 nucleotides) under Ananas comosus (pineapple). RNAcentral's name for it is "long non-coding RNA (ACOM_LNC022833)". The record is from RNAcentral. Lineage: Eukaryota; Viridiplantae; Streptophyta; Magnoliopsida; Poales; Bromeliaceae.
UUUUUUUUUCGGCGAAAAAAAAAAAAGAACGAGAGAACGAAGAGGAGAGAGAAAGAGGAAAGAGAAAAAGUAAUAAGGGUAUUUUGGUCAGUUUGCUGAAAAAGCGGACCGAAUUUGCAAAAACGAAAAAGGUGGCCUAGUUUUGCAAAAGCCCAAAAUAAGUGAAUUUUUUAUGCAAAUUGGCCGUCAACUAAUCAGCAAUAUCUAUACCUAUACCCUUAUUAUUAUUAUUAAUUAUUUAAUUAUUAUAUAUUAUUUAUUAAAAUUUGUCAUAUAUGACAAUAUUGUCUUUUGAGUAUGGGUUUUUUUGAACUCAGCUCAAAUUUUUUGCAUAAUUUUCUCUUUUUUUACUUUAGCUGAGUCUGAUUUUUCUCUUUCUUUGCUUGAACCAAACCGGAUAAACCUGUUGUAUUGGGCCAAACCAAUCUAAUUGCUUCAAAUGUUUUCAUCUUUGAACAAAAUUUCCUUUUUUUUUUGUUUGAACUGAACUGAUCACUAUCGAGUGUUGGCUUAACACCGAACCGGCUCAAGUUUUUCUCUUUCUUUGUUUGAAUUGAACCGAACUUUCUUUUUUUUUUUCCUUGAAUCGAAUCGGAUCAUACCUCCAUAUUAGGCCGAACUGUUACUCUUCCUCUUCCUACGGUUGUUAUCUUCGUUCAUCAGCAAGAUGAAUCUCGUCUCUCAUCAUCAUUUCUUUCAUCGCUGUUUUCUCUUUUUUUAUUAAUUUUUUUAUUUUUUUUCCAAUUAUCUAUCCAUCACAUCGCAAGGGUUACUAUACCAGCUUUCUAUGAUUUCGCCAAAAACCGCAAAUUUAAAGAAACUAAUGCUAUGGGCCUAUGGCCUCUUAUUUAAUUUAGGGGAAACUUCAAAAACUCCCUCUGUGAUUUCGUACUUUCUCACUUUAGUACCCUAUGGUUUAAAGUGUAUCAAUUCCUCCCCCGGUGGUUUUAUUUUUCUCUUUUUAUUAUCAAUUUUAUUAUUAUUUUUUACUUAAAUCAGUGACAAAGUUAAAAAUAAAAAGUACUAAAAUAAAUAUUCGAUAAAUCAAGGUGAGUAUCUACAACUUUUUGUAUAUAAUUUAACGAAAUAUUAAGAAAAAAAUUGUCGAAAAGAUAAAAACAAAACCACAGGAGGGCAAAUUGAUGCAUUUUAAAUCACAUGGUACUAAAGUGAAAAAGUGUGUAACCACAGGAGAGUUUUUUGAAGUUUUUUUCUUUAAUUU